GAUGAACGCUGGCGGCGUGCUUAACACAUGCAAGUCGAACGAAGCACUUCAGAUUGAUUCUUCUGGUGUCGUCUUUUGUGACUUAGUGGCGGACGGAUGAGUAACGCGUGGGUAACCUGCCUCACACAGGUGGAUCAAAGUUAGAAAUGACUGCUCAUACCGCAUAACCCGAUAGGAUCGCAUGAUCCAGACGGAAAAGAUUUAUCGGUGUGAGAUGUACCCGCGUCUGAUUAGCUAGUUGGUGAGGUAACGGCCCACCAAGGCGACGAUCAGUAGCCGGGAGGGGAGGCUGCACGGCUACAUUGGGAAUGAGACACGGCCCAAACUCCGACGGGAGGCAGCAGUGGGGAAUAUUGCACAAUGGGGGAAAAUCUGAUGCAGCGACGCCGCGUGAGUGAAGAAGUAGUUUGGUAUGUAAAGCCCUAUCAGAAGGGAAGAAAAUGACGGUACCUGACUAAGAAGCCCCGGCUAACUACGUG
This 479-nucleotide ribosomal RNA is filed under the name uncultured bacterium. Its description in RNAcentral is "partial 16S ribosomal RNA". It matches the Rfam family "Bacterial small subunit ribosomal RNA", at positions 28 to 507 of the family's 1533-position model. The record is from RNAcentral.